RNAcentral lists this ribosomal RNA (465 nucleotides) under uncultured bacterium. RNAcentral's name for it is "partial 16S ribosomal RNA". It matches the Rfam family "Bacterial small subunit ribosomal RNA", at positions 28 to 507 of the family's 1533-position model. The record is from RNAcentral.
GAUGAACGCUGGCGGCGUGCUUAACACAUGCAAGUCGAACGGAAAGGCUCCUGCUUGCAGGGGUACUCGAGUGGCGAACGGGUGAGUAACACGUGGGUGAUCUGCCCUGCACUUCGGGAUAAGCCUGGGAAACUGGGUCUAAUACCGGAUAGGACUAUGGUUUGGAUGCCAUUGUGGAAAGUUUUUCGGUGUGGGAUGAGCUCGCGGCCUAUCAGCUUGUUGGUGGGGUAAUGGCCUACCAAGGCGUCGACGGGUAGCCGGCCUGAGAGGGUGUACGGCCACAUUGGGACUGAGAUACGGCCCAGACUCCUACGGGAGGCAGCAGUGGGGAAUAUUGCACAAUGGGAGCAAGCCUGAUGCAGCGACGCCGCGUGGGGGAUGACGGCCUUCGGGUUGUAAACUCCUUUCGCUAGGGACGAAGCGCAAGUGACGGUACCUGGAGAAGAAGCACCGGCUAACUACGUG